Molecule: ribosomal RNA, 126 nt
Filed under: Brachystegia mildbraedii
Lineage: Eukaryota; Viridiplantae; Streptophyta; Magnoliopsida; Fabales; Fabaceae
Description: partial 18S ribosomal RNA
Rfam family: Eukaryotic small subunit ribosomal RNA
Source: RNAcentral
GAUCGUGGCAACAUGGGCGGUUCGUUAUCGACGAUGUCGCGAGAAGUCCCUGAACCUUAUCAUUUAGAGGAAGGAGAAGUUGUAACAAGAUUUCUAUAGGUGAACCUACAAAGGAUCAUUGUCGAU